AUACGUAGGUGGCAAGCGUUGUCCGGAAUUAUUGGGCGUAAAGCGCGCGCAGGCGGUCCUUUAAGUCUGAUGUGAAAGCCCACGGCUCAACCGUGGAGGGUCAUUGGAAACUGGGGGACUUGAGUGCAGAAGAGGAAAGUGGAAUUCCAAGUGUAGCGGUGAAAUGCGUAGAGAUUUGGAGGAACACCAGUGGCGAAGGCGACUUUCUGGUCUGUAACUGACGCUGAGGCGCGAAAGCGUGGGGAGCAAACAGGAUUAGAUACCCUGGUAGUCCACGCCGUAAACGAUGAGUGCUAAGUGUUAGGGGGUUUCCGCCCCUUAGUGCUGCAGCUAACGCAUUAAGCACUCCGCCUGGGGAGUACGGUCACAAGACUGAAACUCAAAGGAAUUGACGGGG
Molecule: ribosomal RNA, 397 nt
Filed under: uncultured bacterium
Lineage: Bacteria
Description: partial 16S ribosomal RNA
Rfam family: Bacterial small subunit ribosomal RNA
Source: RNAcentral